Hibiscus syriacus is the source of this 677-nucleotide long non-coding RNA. RefSeq lists it as uncharacterized. The transcript is spliced from 3 exons. NCBI's taxonomy places the organism in Eukaryota, Viridiplantae, Streptophyta, Magnoliopsida, Malvales, Malvaceae. The record is from RefSeq and is a predicted model, not a curated record.
UUGGUUAAUUUGACUCGGGUUAUAACAUAAAACCACCCUCAUUUCAGAUUUCAAAAGUCAAAAAAUCACCAAAUUUAAAACCUAAAUCCCUAGCCAUCCGACGCUUUCAUUUUCCCCGAUUCCUCGUCGUCCGGCCGCCUUGGAGUACACCUCUGCCACCACUAAGACUGCCGCCUAGCGCCGACCGAAACCCCUCUUGUUCCUCAUUGAGAUUCAUCUUCGUUCGCCCUAAAUCGAUGUUAAACCAUUCGAUGAGAACCCUAUAAACCGCCAUUGAAAUUCGUCGACUUUGGCCGAUCUAGUCGGCGUUGCUACUUACCGCCCUCACCGUUGUAUCCCUCGUGAAAAUUCAAACAAAACCCAGGUUGUUUUGUCGGCUCUCCAUCGUUGCUCCAUCGACCAUCGUGGGUACUUGGGAAUCUCCCGACCGUUCGACAGUUUGACCCAGCUUCUCUCGAUCCAUUCGAUCCCAUGAGCUAGUGAUUACUCAUAUGAUCCGUGAACCUUAUGAAUACUUAGAUUAAAAUUUUACUUCAAUAGUAACUCUAUUUAUUAUGAUUUAGGUUUUAGCACUGCUGUAGAGUGUGGCGAGACAGGUGCUCAAUAGACUCCUUGAGUUAUCCCAUUUUACGAGGUACUUUUAGAUAGGCAACCCUGACUUGACAUUUGGAGAAUUG